RNAcentral lists this ribosomal RNA (294 nucleotides) under uncultured bacterium. Its description in RNAcentral is "partial 16S ribosomal RNA". It matches the Rfam family "Bacterial small subunit ribosomal RNA", at positions 332 to 619 of the family's 1533-position model. The record is from RNAcentral.
GUGAGCCUACGGGACGCAGCAGUAGGGAAUCUUCCACAAUGGGCGAAAGCCUGAUGGAGCAACGCCGCGUGGGUGAAGAAGGUCUUCGGAUCGUAAAACCCUGUUGUUAGAGAAGAAAGUGCGUGAGAGUAACUGUUCGCAUUUCGACGGUAUCUAACCAGAAAGCCACGGCUAACUACGUGCCUGCAGCCGCGGUAAUACGUAGGUGGCAAGCGUUAUCCGGAUUUAUUGGGCGUAAAGGGAACGCAGGCGGUCUUUUAAGUCUGAUGUGAAAGCCUUCGGCUUAACCGGAGU